Molecule: long non-coding RNA, 871 nt
Filed under: Salmo salar (Atlantic salmon)
Lineage: Eukaryota; Metazoa; Chordata; Actinopteri; Salmoniformes; Salmonidae
Description: lncRNA (ENSSSAG00000111583.1)
Source: RNAcentral
UGUGAAUCUUGUGAUUAAACAGACUUAUUGUAGGUUCUUUUACUGAUUUAAAGAUCAUGGACUAUUUCCCUGUUUUAUAUUAGGAUACGUUUUAUUACACUUAUUUUAAAUAUACAUACAGUCUUUAAACCAUAACAGGUUCAAAUAUGGUCUCAACUCUCUUGGGCUGCUUGAAGGAUUGGGGAACCAUAGGGCAGCUUCCGAGCACUUUUUGUGGACUCCAUAAAGCCUUCCACUGCCAGGGACCUGUUUAAAGUAACCUAUUCCAUACCUGAAUGCAACCGGCGGUGUUUGGAGAAUGACACCAUCUGCCACUGGUUCAACUGGCUGGCUGAGGUGCAAGGUAAAAUAGUCAAUUGUUCCAGUUUAUCGGUAACUGCAUAUUAUUCCAUUUUGUGAUUUAAAUAUGUACUUUAAUGGUUUUACUGUGUACUCCUCAGAUGGAGAAUGUCCUCCUCUAACAGUGGCGCUGGUGUUGGAGGUUGCUACUGGGGCAACGGUGGUGCCACCCCUUGGGUUUGAGGACACCCCGACCAUCGAAUUCCUCCACACAGCGCGAGGGCGUCUCGCUGGGCAGCAGAAGAAAAAGUACCCAGAGGCAAACACGUGUGCUGUGACACUAAGGCUCCCUCUUCAUAGCACCUACAAUGCCUUUAGGGAAUUCAUGACCGCCGGCCUGGGAAGUAAACACUUGCCUAAAAAUGAUGGACAUAGAGCACGAGGCUUUCUGCAAGCUCCGCCGCUCCAUGCACUCCACCUCGCCAGCUGACAUCGAUCCUAAAGUCCACAGCAUCGUGGAGAGAGCUGUGAGGAGCAUUCUGGGCGUGCAGUCCAAUGAGCCCCGUAGCAACCUGCUCAGCCCAUCUCAGGU